GCUAAAAAACUAUCAAUAUGGUUAUUUUUUAAGAAUUUUUCAAUGAAGAAAUUUAACCAUUUUGGAAGUUUUCGUGCAUUAACCAUUAAACGGUUGAAAAGCUUGAAGUUUUUUCAUCGCCAUUUUGAAAGUUACGUGAAGCAAACCGAACGCGUUUCGCAAAAUCUUUUUUUCGCACGGAUAGAAUAAAAUUCCAAAUAAAUAUAUACCUGUGGUUCGGGUGUGCGUGGAGAGAUUCUGAAAGUGCACCAGUUGGAAGAAUCCGCAAGAGUCCGGAUUCAGUUCCGGUGAAACUUAAACGUGACGUCUUGCGCGGGAGUACUAAUUUAUUACCGGAACGAGCGCACCUAUUGCCACAAAAAUUGGUCCCGAUCGUUCUCCUUAUUCUGAUGGAGCUGGGGCGGGUCGGACAACCCAAAAAGCAAGGACCAUCCCCGAUGCAUUUAGCGCUAAGAAGCCGAAAAGCGAACAGUGUAAACCGGUCAAAAAUGAAGGAAUACGCCACCCCAAAAAGCUCCCGUCGGAGCAGAUCAGCUUCGUGACACAGCGGAUGGUCCACAUCAAGUCGGAUGCGAACAAGAUCGUCCGAAAGCCGCUGCUCAAGAAUCGGGAAACAAAGUUUUGGAAACAGGAAUUCUCAUUGCCGAUUACCGGAGAGUCGGGCGGGACCAGAUGUGCAUCAAACCGAACUUUAUGAAGACGGGAGUGUCGUUGAAAUAUGAGAAGGUGGAACAUGGUCGACUCAUUCUGGUGUUCCAGCACCGGGGCAAGAAUAUUGCUAAUAAGGAGGCGAUGCCGCCAUGGCCAGGCUAGGAUUGCCUAUAAGCGUAGGUCGGUUUUCUCAAGCAGACCGAGGGUGUGGACGCGACGCUUAAAAUGGUAGAACCCUGGAUUAUAUGUUCAAAGCAGAAAAUGUGGAAGAGGAACCGAAAAAGAUUCUGAAUACUUCUAAUAUUCAUAUAUUUUUAUGUAUUGUCUAUCACGAUUUUUUAAUUUCAAAACAAAUGAAAAACAUCAAAAUAAACACUACCGGAAACAAGCAUGUUUAACCAACAAGAUAGAAAAUAUAAAAAUUUAAAAGCUAGUAUUUUUUUCUAAAUUUUUAUCUCGAUAUCUUCCAUUUUGCGAUUAGGUUGAAAAAUAACCAUUUUCCCACCUUUCCUCCAUAACUUCUUGCGGUUAAAAAGUAACCAUAUUUCCACUUCUCAAGAGAAGUCAAAAAAUGACUUCUAUGGAAGAAACCAAAAAAUCACUUAACGUGGAAAGGUGUGAAAAUGGUUACUUUUUAACGAUAAUUGGUUAAUUAAUUUCGAGCGUG
Molecule: long non-coding RNA, 1318 nt
Organism: Uranotaenia lowii
Lineage: Eukaryota; Metazoa; Arthropoda; Insecta; Diptera; Culicidae
Exons: 3
Source: RefSeq, a predicted model, not a curated record